This 394-nucleotide long non-coding RNA is filed under the name Physcomitrium patens. Its description in RNAcentral is "long non-coding RNA (PPAT_LNC011089)". The record is from RNAcentral. Lineage: Eukaryota; Viridiplantae; Streptophyta; Bryopsida; Funariales; Funariaceae.
UUUAAUCAAAUUCAGAGAAACCUCAAAGGAAUUCCAAAGAAACAAUAAGAAAUCUUAAAGAAAUAUUAGAAUAAUUACAAACAUAUCUCAAAUACAUCUCAAUUCAAUCUUAAUUUAAUCCUAGUUGAAAUCUUAUUGGACUUCAUUCAAACUUUAGGCCAAAAACUAACUAAAUCUUUAACCUUAAAUCAAAUCCUGAUCAAAUCUAAACCAAACCUUAAACCCUAAAUCAAACCCUUAACUCUAAACUAAAUCCUAAAUCCUAAAUCAAAUCCUAACCAAACCCUAGUCCUAAAUCAAAUCCUAAUUAAGCCCUAAAUUCUAAAUCCUAAACUAAAUCCUAAUCCUAAAUCAAACCCUAACCAAAUCCUAACCCUAAAUCAAAUCCUAACCA